RNAcentral lists this small nuclear RNA (81 nucleotides) under Sus scrofa (pig). The record is from RNAcentral. Lineage: Eukaryota; Metazoa; Chordata; Mammalia; Artiodactyla; Suidae.
GGGCUCGCUUGGGUAGCACAUAUGCUAAAAUUAGAACGGUCUGGAGAAGUGGAGCAUGGCCCCUGCUCAAGGAUGACUCAC